UUGAUCUUUCUUUUGUAACUCUAUAUAAUAAUGAUACAUUCCCUUCAACCAAAAGUGCAUGCAAACAAAAAAUCCCCACUAAUUUCUGUCUUUUUAUUUUAGUCGUACAUUUGAUCUUUCUCUUAAUUAGAACUGUGAUUGCUUUAUUCAUUGCCCGAAUGACCCACUUGUGUGAUUAAUCACUAAUCUUGUUCAAGCUCAACUCAAGGAUGAAUGUAAUUAAGAACAAAAACCCAGCUUAAUUAUAAUUAAACUGGGCACAUAUCGAUUAGGGUUAGACUCAGUUGAUAUAUCUGCAGAUAAUUGCAGGAGAUGAAAAUUAUAAAUUUAACCAUCAAAUUUCUCUUCUAAAGAAUCUAAAGAGAAGAAAAAUGAAAGAAAGAAAG
Molecule: unclassified non-coding RNA, 386 nt
Filed under: Hevea brasiliensis (rubber tree)
Lineage: Eukaryota; Viridiplantae; Streptophyta; Magnoliopsida; Malpighiales; Euphorbiaceae
Source: RNAcentral